CGGACCUGGUAAUAGUGAGUAUCGACGUGUCAGAGUAAAUGUAUAAAUAUUUAACUAAUUACUGGAAUUGAUUUGGUCAAGUGCAACUGCUCACUGUUUAGCAGCGGUGUCUCAGCUGUUUGGCAGCUGCUCGAAUGGGAGGAAGAUGUGUGUUUCGUCGUUUUCGUGAAGAUCACUCAGCGACCCACACGCUGCAGCUCUGUUGUUCAGCAGCAGAUGAUGUGCUGUCAGCCACUGACUUGUCAUUCCCACUCGCCAUCACUUACCAUUGUCAUCAAAUGGACUCAAACUAGCCACAAGUUCUGACUGAGCUCAAUCGUCAUGAAACGCAAAUACAGCGAUGAGUUUCUCACUCUUGGUUUUGUACAAACUUUGAGAAAUAACGAGGAUCGCCCGCGAUGUGUUUUGUGCAGGGAAGUGCUUAGUAUUGAUUCUCUCAAAACGAACAAAUGAAAACGACACGUCCUGACCAAACAUCCACAGUAUGACGGUAAACCCAGGGAGUUCUUUCAGAACAGGGAAGAAUGCUUCAGGAAACAGUGCUUCGACAGCGGAAGAGUUACAUAAAGGAAUAACACAAACUGAGUGUCCCAUCCCUCACCACCAUGAUACAAACCCACUCUUUGUCUUUAUGAGUGGUCACUCAGGUCCAUCCAGCCUGCAGUCAGAACCGGGUCCAAGCUCCACUGCCAGAGUCAGAUCCACAAGGACUGGUGACCUCCAGCCUGCAGUCAGAACCGGGUCCAGCCUCCACCACCACAGCCAGCCCACAGGGACUAGUGUCCUUUCCUCUGUAAUUAAUCUAUCUGCUGAGCCUCAUCUCUCUCUCUCUCUCUUAACCUACUCACAUAUCUGUAGAAAUAACAAACCCUGCAUGGUCUCUCCAUAACAAACAUCUCCCCAUAAUUGCCAGUGAUAUUCGUGUUCACUCCAUUAAGUUGACCACACCGAGUGGGACGCCAGAGAGGGAAGAUGGAUCAGCUGCUAGCGUUGAGAAAAGACAGGGGCCUUGUCUUCAAAGAGGCAGGCAGAGCUUGGAGGAUAAAGUCCCCUCGGGCCUCGCCGACUAACAAGGUCAGGCUCUUGUGUUGGAUGACAGCAGUUUUCCACCUCAAAUUCAUUCAACCAAAUGACCUCAAUAGUCUCAAAACGUGGCGUUCCGAGGAGAAACUCAGACAUCAUAUCUGGGUGUUUGAUAGCGGCCAGUCUGGCAGUCGGUCGGGGGAGAGAGGAGAGGAUGUGGGGUUUAGAUUAGAGCGAGGCGAAGAUGAAGACAGGCUUUUAUAACCAGUCUGGAUGUGAGCCGGGGCCAGAGCUCCUGAAGUAAGCUGUUAAAGAAGCCUUUUAAAAACACAGGGCUUUGAUGCUGGGAGAGGAUAAUCAUUUUGGUUGGCUAUGUAUCGCUUUAGCAGAACUCUAAAGAAGUCCCAGACAGACUGCCCAAGAAAAAGACCCUCAGAUCUGGCAUGGCUCAGAGUACCUACUGCAUUGGACACAAAGAGACACCUCAACCUAGUCAGUCACCAAUCAGUCAUAUGGCAUAGUACCUGUAUGGUUAGUAGAUCUUGGUAGACUAGAAUCUACUCUAUGGUUGGUAGAUCUUGGUAGACUAGAAUCUACUCUAUGGUUAGUAGAUCUUGGUAGAAUAUAAUCUACACUAUACCUGUAUGGUUUGUAGAUCUUGGUAGACUAGAAUCUACUCUAUGCCUGUAUGGUUAGUAGAUCUUGGUAGACUAGAAUCUACUCUAUGCCUGUAUGGUUAGUAGAUCUUGGUAGACUAGAAUCUACUCUAAACCUGUAUGGUUUGUAAAUCUUGGGAGACUAGAAUCUACUCUAUGGUUUAUAGAUCUUGGUAGAAUAGACUCUACCAUAUCUGCAUGGUUUGUAGAUCUUGGUAGAAUAGACUCUACCAUAUCUGUGUAGAGCAGUAGGAAGAUGUCUAGUCUCUAUCGACAGCAGCCUGCGCUUAUAAUGGCUCACUGGGAUCUCAGACAGCUCUACCAUACAUCAACACCUUAUUGGCCACCGAACCCCAACAAACCUCUAGCAUGUUUUCACAGCUUGGAAGCCAGAGGUGAGGGGAGGUCUGGGAAGAGCUGGGAUCCCCACGGUAUGCUUUCCCCCUUUUACUUUGGAACACACACACACACACACUCACGCACGCACGCACACACACACACACACACACUUGUGGAAUUCACACAAACACAUUUUUGGAAUUCACUCACACAAAUUAUUUAUGAAAUUAUUUUAUAAAGCCUUUUUUUACAUCAGCAGAUGUCACAAAGUGCUAUACAGAAACCCAGCCUUAAACCCCAAACAGCAAUGCAGAUGUUGAAGCACAUGCAUGUACACACACUUUGGAAUUCACACACAUACCGACUGUCAUGCACGCUGUCACGCACACACACACAUUUUGAAUGUCACACACACACGCACGCACGCACGCACGCACGCACGCACACACACACACACACACACACACACACACACACACACACACACACACACACACACACACACACACACACACACACACACACACACAGAGAGAAAGGCUUUCCCCUAAGGGUGUUUGAAGCUGCCUCUCCAGCCCAUGUUUAUUAUUCCUGAGUGAUUCUCUCCACAGAGACAAUAGAUUUGAAGGGGCACAUGACCCUCUUCCUCAAAAUCUUUGUUUAUAUGUUUUCCCCAACAAAGUAAACAUGCCUUGAGAAAACAAGGCAGAUCGGGUUAGGGCUACACGUUACAUCAUGGACACACAGCGAGGCAGUAUAGUCACUAUUUGUGCCUUCUGACAAUUGUGAGGAGUUAACAAUGAACCAUUCUUGCACCUGCUCUAAACUUGCUUGGUAACAUUGGAAACAUUCAUAUUUUCGACCAUAGCAUGUGAUGAAUGGGAAUGUGAAUGUGGUGAGUUUCCAACAUGAUCAAAAGUAGUGCACUACAUAGGGAAUAGGGUGCCAUUUGGGAAACAUUCUAAGAGAACAAGGGCCUCUCAACCACUGAACCAUCCUGCUCAGCCUUCUGCUACCCAUGAAGCACUCUGCCUGCCACCAGGCAGACCCCACACACCUUGCCAUCCUCCCAUCCUCUGGCUCCUGCAGGAGGCCAAGGCACUGACCCACGGAGGGAAACAGACUCACUACAGAUAACUAUUUUAGACCACAACAGGAGCUACUGAUGUUUUACUGUGCGAUGACUGAAAACCUUAUUUGAGUGAAGUAGCUAGAUGUUUCUGUAGCAGUCACUUCAGGGCAGGAAAUCAUUACAUCAAUAUUGGUUAUGAUGUCAUGUAAUAGCAGGCUGUAGCCAUAGCAACAUAACCUAUAGCUACCGUACCAUAAAGCCUUACAUUUAAGAACUACAUAUUUCAUUUGUUGUCUAGUACUGUGAGGUGAGGACUCAGAGUAUCUCAAUGUGAGCUCUGUGAGAGGAGAGGAGGUCACACAGAGUGUCUGCAGCUGCAGUCCAGGAUGAAUGGUGGACAGGGGGAUAAAGAUGGGUAGGGGGAUGCAUGGGGGGGCAGGGGGUGCUCUUGGCCAAAAACAAGAGAGGGACCGAGGCCGACCCACCACUCAGAGAGACAGAGACAUUAUGGUGUCCCACCUAACCUGUAGUUCUGCUCCUACAAGAAGAGAGAGACAGACAGACACACUGACAGACACAGACAGACAGACAAACAUGGACAGACAGACAGAGUAUUUGCACACAGUGAACUAUUUGGACAUAAUAUGACAUUUGAAAUGUUACUUUUGUGAGUGUAAUGUUUAAUGUUAAUUUGUAUUGUUUAUUUAACUUUUGUUAUCUACCUCACAUGCUAUGGCAAUGUUAACAUAUGUUUCCCAUGCCAA
Molecule: long non-coding RNA, 3854 nt
Filed under: Salmo salar (Atlantic salmon)
Lineage: Eukaryota; Metazoa; Chordata; Actinopteri; Salmoniformes; Salmonidae
Description: lncRNA (ENSSSAG00000102059.1)
Source: RNAcentral